CAGCAAUGGGACAGUUGUAAUCCAGCUACUGUGAGGAUGAAGAGAGGUGCUGCUUAAUGCAUUCAGGUAGCGAGGUAAUAGAUCUGAUAUAUAUAGGACCUAUAGUAUUAACCUGUGUUAGGUCGAGAAAACAAUUUCCAGUGGUUUUGCAUUCAGAAUUGAUAUAGCAGAUAUGUAUCUCACUUUGUACUCAGGUAAUCCAUAUUGCCAUGUCAGGAAGCAAGGACCAGGAGUGGAAGUGAGGGCUCCAAAACUUAUGGCUGGGUGGCCAUAUGAGGACAGUGGUGAAUUUUAGAAGCAGAUUUGAACCAUGCACCUGCAAUCAUCAGC
RNAcentral lists this long non-coding RNA (330 nucleotides) under Bos indicus x Bos taurus (hybrid cattle). RNAcentral's name for it is "lncRNA (ENSBIXG00000028267.1)". The record is from RNAcentral. Lineage: Eukaryota; Metazoa; Chordata; Mammalia; Artiodactyla; Bovidae.